RNAcentral lists this ribosomal RNA (545 nucleotides) under uncultured bacterium. Its description in RNAcentral is "bacterial SSU rRNA". It matches the Rfam family "Archaeal small subunit ribosomal RNA", at positions 727 to 1274 of the family's 1478-position model. The record is from RNAcentral.
AAAUAGAUACCCCGUGGUAGUCCCAGCCGUAAACGAUGCGCGUUAGGUGUAUCGGUGACCACGAGUCACCGAGGUGCCGAAGGGAAACCGUGAAACGUGCCGCCUGGGAAGUACGGUCGCAAGGCUGAAACUUAAAGGAAUUGGCGGGGGAGCACCACAACAGGUGGAGCCUGCGGUUUAAUCGGACUCAACGCCGGGAACAUCACCGGAUAAGACAGCGGGAUGAUAGCCAGGCUGAAGACUUUGCUUGACUAGCUGAGAGGAGGUGCAUGGCCGUCGUCAGUUCGUACUGUGAAACAUCCUGUUAAGUCAGGCAACGAGCGAGACCCACGCCAACAGUUGCUAGCAUGUCCUUGGGAUGAUGAGGACACUGUUGGGACCGCCUCUGCUAAAGAGGAGGAAGGAAUGGGCAACGGUAGGUCAGCAUGCCCCGAAUUAUCCGGGCUACACGCGGGCUACAACUGGGCAGGACAAUGGGUAUCGACACCGAAAGGUGAAGGCAAUCUCUUAAACCUGUCCGUAGUUCGGAUUGCGGUUGCUAACCG